AAACCUUCUAGUCUCCAGAUAUCUUAUCAUUUCCUACACCCAUUGAGCUAUAUAGAUGCUUUCUAUAAUUUCCAAUUUUCAUAUCUGUAGAUGCCAUAAUUUCAGAAGUAGACAGAGGAAAGUAGUCAAUGGAUUUCUUUCCUCACUGGUUUUUUUCUGAGGCAGGAAACAUUUAUCUGUUUUUUGCAUAAAGUCCAUAGCAAACGUGUGCUCCAAAGUCAACUCCUCCUAAUACGUUUCACAAAUACUUUAAACACUCAGAAAUAUGUAAAGAUAUAGCAAACUGAAAGAAAGUUCUGGCCAAUUACUCGUUACUUCAAGUCUAGUGAUUCUUUUUUCUUUGAAACUAAAAAGGCAAGAUUGAAAUCUGUAUGAACAGGUACAGAAGUGGUAAAUGGCUUGAAUGAGAAAAGAUCAAGGUCUAUUAUAAUUAGAAACAGGAGUUUACUGAGGAUCCGUUCUAAGGUUUCUGAAAAAAUCGAAAUAUGUUUUAGGAGCUAACAGUCUAGCAGGAAUUCAUGGUAAGCAUACAUUUAACUCAACUUUAGCUGUGAUGAGUACACAGAAGGAACCUUAUGGAGGAAGUAAGAUUUGAAUUGUAUCUCAAGACCCUCGCAGGAUUUCAGUAGGUGUGAAAAGAACCAUAGGUGUUUCUCGCAAAGGAGCAGUAGUCCUAAUGGUACUGAUAUGCAAACGUGCACGUUGGACUCAAGGGCCGAUGAAUGGUCCCGUGGAUUGGAUUGUAGCAGGAGUGUGAGGGCCAGGAUAUGAGGCUGGAAACAUCAUCUGGGAUUGCAAAGCUGUCAGACGCUGUGCUAACAUAUUUUGAUUGUGAUUCGUAAAGGGGGGGGGGUUGGAACAGAGGAGAGGCCUGAUUUGACUUGUAUUUUACAGGAAUAGAGCUGAAAGCAUCAGGAAAGGUAGACCAGAAGGACAAGAGAUUGGAGAUCAUCCCACCCAAGAUAGAUGAUGAAGGCUGGCAUUUGGGUUGGAUUGAAGACAGAGUCCAUGAUUUCUUUUCCAGAGGUAGACCCACCAGAGUUUGGUUGCUAGGUAGAUACAGAGGUGUAAGUGAAAGAGAGGCCUCAAAGCCUGAGACCCCACUGGCCAGUGACCCCACUGAAAUGGGGCCAUGGUGAGUGAGCACGUAGUGCAGCUUUGGUGGGGGGCGAUAAUCAAUUCAUUGACUAUCUCAAAAUGUAUGAGAAAUUUGUGAAACUAUGUCACAACUGUGGUAGCAACUAUGCAAACACAAAUCAAUUUUUAUAAUUCAUUCUUAAAUGUGCGUGGUCGCCUGGUGAGGAUGGUAAGCCACACCACACACCCCCAGGGAAAAAUCAGGACAGGAACCAUGAGAGCCCGCCCUUCAGGCCCCUAAGAAGUCUGUGCAGGUUCAGCACCGAGGCCACCUAGCUCUCCGCCCCGUGCCCACAGCUCCAGGCCAGGUAUUACAUACAUCUCUCCUUCUCUUCUUUAAAGGCACCCAUUCACUGAUGUUUCCCAGCCUCUGGAUGUAAAAGAUGGAGCUUUGGGAAAAGCAGAAUACAAUGAAUGAGACGGGAACAAGCAUGGCAAGUCCGGGAAACCCAUAGAGCCUCCGCGCCUUCCACAAAGUACCGGGUGAUACGGGAGUUAGAUUGGAGCCUUGAUAGAUGAGAGCCUCUCUGUCUUGGAAAUGCAAUAUGAAACGAACCCGUGUGGCAGUCCUGGACACCGUUUGUCCACCUACAGGUCUAUGAAGAUGUACACACAUUUGCGGAGCAGCAACUCCUACUUUGGAAGCCGACUCAUUUCAAAUGGACAGCCCAGGAAGUACGCCUCUGAAGAGCUCAAUCUGGACACACAGUGGCUUAGAAGAACCCACAAAAUGCCAGACCCGCAAACUGUAAUCCUUAAAUGAAACUCAUCGCUCAGCAGAAAAACAAGUUAAGGGCGGUAAUUCAAUGAUAGACGAAACAGGCCGGAACAGGUUCAAAUGCUGCAUAUUUCACAACAGAGCUUAAUUAAAAUAGGACUAUGAGGCUGUUAAUUGCAUUAUAAUAGUUCAGCAUGAAAUUAGGUCUGAUGUGAAUGUCCUUAUAGUGGAUUUGUUUAUGUUAUUAUAAUUACACAGUGGUACAUACACUUACUGCAUAGAUACAUUUUUAACAGGCCGGCUCUUGGGGGUGGAUUUCUUUUCUUUCCUCACUGGAAUUUGCACUCUAUUUACAAGUGUGGAAAGUCGGCAAGAGGGAACCAGGGUCAGGAAAUUAGGUCAUACUGGAUAAUCCAUUUGGUCUCCUGGGUAUUUAAAGCUUAGAACUCCAAAUAAGUUGUGUCUUGUUGAUGGUGAUUUUAUUCACCAUUUCAUUGGGAGAGACUAUGUCACUAAAAAACUAGGUCUCAGUAAGAUGGGUGUUUUGUGUUGUCUUAGAAAGCAACACCUUUCUUGAGAAUCAAUGAAUGCAAAUGUCUGACUAAAUGUGUCUGUAGUACCACAAUAUCAUGUUUUCCAGUGUAGAUUUUAAAAAAUGGCAACAUUUCCAAGAUUUGGGUCUAGUAAAAAAUAGUAAUUCUGGUUCACAGGAUGGAAAAAACAUGGCAGGACUUAGUUUGGUUUUCCAAAUAUAAAAAUGGAUUUACAUUUUUCCUUGAUUCAUCCGUAGUUUCCACUUUCUGGACAGAGACGUACUUGGCUCACAUGAAAAUCUCACCUAUGACCUUGGCUUCAACACUAAACGCUGAGAUACUAUCAGCAGUUUUGGAAGCAAAUAUUACACAUUUGGUAAUGUUUUCAAUUUUCAUCGAGAUCUUUUUAUUUCCCUGCAAACUAUAGAUCUCAGCAAUUUUGCAAGUUUCUUCAUUUUGUAUGUUGCUUUGAAAUAAAAGGGCAAAAAAUUAAUAGAAGAUUACCCAUAAAUAAAUUAGGUAAGCAAGACGA
This is a long non-coding RNA of Herpailurus yagouaroundi (jaguarundi), 2920 nucleotides long. RefSeq lists it as uncharacterized. Lineage: Eukaryota; Metazoa; Chordata; Mammalia; Carnivora; Felidae. The record is from RefSeq and is a predicted model, not a curated record. The transcript is spliced from 2 exons.